Molecule: ribosomal RNA, 458 nt
Filed under: uncultured bacterium
Lineage: Bacteria
Description: partial 16S ribosomal RNA
Rfam family: Bacterial small subunit ribosomal RNA
Source: RNAcentral
CCUACGGGUGGCAGCAGUGGGGAAUAUUGCACAAUGGGGGAAACCCUGAUGCAGCGACGCCGCGUGAGUGAAGAAGUAAUUCGUUACGUAAAGCUCUAUCAGCAGGGAAGAAAUACUGACCUUACGGUCAGCAGACGGUACCUGAGUAAGAACCCCCGGCUAACUACGUGCCAGCAGCCGCGGCAAUACGUAGGGGGCAAGCGUUAUCCGGAUUUACUGGGUGUAAAGGGAGUGUAGACGGGGCGCCAAGUCUGGAGUGAAAUGCCGUAGCUUAACUGUGGAACUGCUUUGGAAACUGGCGAACUAGAGUGCGGGAGGGGUAAGCGGAAUUCGUAGUGUAGCGGUGAAAUGCGUAGAUAUUAGGAGGAACACUGGUGGCGAAGGCGACUUACUGGAACGUAACUGACGUUGAGGCUCGAAAGCGUGGGGAGCAAACAGGAUUAGAUACCCUAGUAGUC